GGAAAGAUGGUUGAGUGGUUUAAGAUAUAGCAUUGGAAAUGCUAAGUAGACUUUGAUGUCUACCGAGGGUUCGAAUCCCUCUCUUUCC
RNAcentral lists this transfer RNA (88 nucleotides) under Lejeunea sp. 17-8794. Its description in RNAcentral is "tRNA-Ser". It matches the Rfam family "tRNA". From Rfam's summary of the family: Transfer RNA (tRNA) molecules are approximately 80 nucleotides in length. The record is from RNAcentral. Lineage: Eukaryota; Viridiplantae; Streptophyta; Jungermanniopsida; Porellales; Lejeuneaceae.